GGAGGACUGGAUGGCCAUGUAGGGCACAACCAGAGCACCAGCAAAGAACCAACCAAGCCCUUGCUUUAGACCUCUGUUUGUUGCCAUCUGCGCCAUCUGCCUUUACCUAUUACUACUGUCUUCAGUAAAAAAAAACAACCAACAAACAAACAAACAAACAAAACUGAAGCAUUCAUGCAUAGGUAGAGAGUAGAGGCUGUGGUAGCCAGCAGACACCAGUACAACCCAAGUCUUUGCGCUUUUGUAUGCUUUCCAUUCCAUCUCUUGCGCUUGCCCUUCUUGCAAGAAGCACCCUUUUCGCUUUGAAUCUUCCAAGGCCACCAAAGCUACCCAUUCAAACUUAAAGGACCUGCACCGAGUUUCAAUAGCUUCUUUCUUUCCUCACGUUUCUCCAUGUAAGAUGAUACGCUAACACCCAAUGCUUUGCCUGCUUUGGCGCAGAACGCAGAGAGAGAGAGAGGGUGAAUCUUAAAGCAAGUUUUAGGGAUCCAACGGGUGUGGUUUCUUGGUCAUGGUCCAAGGAUGACAUUUUUAUCAGAGUGCCAAAGUUGAAAGAUAAGGGGGGGAAAACAGAAACUAACGUCUUUUAAAGUAAAGAUAGGGACAGCUUACCUGCAAAUAUACUGAUUUAUUGAGUGCCGAGCACUUAGAUGCAGAAAACAAGUAGAUGAAUAGCUAUAAAUUGAUGCAAGAUUAUGAUAAGAUCCCAAUAUAUUCCCUGCUUGUGAAGUGGGCAAGGGAGCCCACAAGAUCGCCCUAGCUGCAAAAGGAAAGGAGGAAAAAAUUAAAGGUGGGUGGAGGAAUGAAUUUUCCAUGAUUUGGCCGGCCUUUUCUUUGGACAGAUUCCUAAAGUGCUAAUUCAGUUAUCUUAUUUUGAAAGGUAAAAGAUUUCCACAUUCAUGUCUUGCUAAAGGACCAAUAAACUAACAAUCAACAGGCUUUCGUCUAGGUCUCUAGGACGGCAAGUUAGUUACACACAAAAAAUUGGGAUCCUAUUAUACAAAAGAGCAAUCAUAUCAUGCUAGUUAUGGAACAAAAUUAGGUCUACAGAUCCUAGGUCAUAAAAGGCAAUGGAAAGCAACAAAUUCAGAUUUACUUCUCUGCUAAGGAAUAGGUAAUGCAACAUUGGCCAGAGUUAGUGAGUUAUUACCAGAUAAAAAGAGCCAUGAUCUUAAAGCAGAUAACAUGUUGAUCCGAUCACAGUAAUGAUGGUGCCCUGAUUAAAGUAACAUCACAGCUGAUUCCAAAUGGCAUGGUUAUUUUUCUCUUGGUCAUAGUUACUUGCAAAGUUAUGUUAUAUGCUAGUAAAGACGUAC
Molecule: long non-coding RNA, 1316 nt
Filed under: Zea mays
Lineage: Eukaryota; Viridiplantae; Streptophyta; Magnoliopsida; Poales; Poaceae
Description: long non-coding RNA (ZMAY_LNC005573)
Source: RNAcentral